Molecule: RNA transcript, 5228 nt
Organism: Notolabrus celidotus (New Zealand spotty)
Lineage: Eukaryota; Metazoa; Chordata; Actinopteri; Labriformes; Labridae
Gene: brip1
Gene name: BRCA1 interacting protein C-terminal helicase 1
Exons: 27
Source: RefSeq, a predicted model, not a curated record
CGUAAAUAUGGCUAGCUUGUUGUGAAGUGGGCUUAUGUGAUUUCAUUUAGAGCGGGAAGACCUUUUUAUUUACAGUCUAUGCAGAGGACUGAUUACGUUUGUAACGUUAACAAAAGCAGCAUGUAUUCGCUGAAUAACUUUCAAACAACCCCAGUUUGACUAUGUUAGCAGUUCUAUCAUGUCAUAUGGAUGUUAUCAGGAGACAGUAACGGUAACAUCUUUGUCGUAGCUUUAGCUCAUGUCAGGUAACUGCCAUUUAUAGCUAGCAAGUGACUGUCAGGUGUCAGGGACACAAACAUGGCUUUAUCCCCGGUGGAGUACACCAUAGGAGGGGUGAAGAUCAACUUCCCCUGCAAGGCUUACCCCUCCCAGCUGGCCAUGAUGAACUCUAUUGUGCGAGGGCUGAACUACGGACAGCACUGUUUGCUGGAGAGUCCAACAGGAAGUGGAAAGAGUUUAGCCUUGCUGUGUUCAGCUCUGGGCUGGCAGCAGGCUCAGUUAGCUAAACUACAACAAGGAGGGAGCCCUGGAGUGGACAAGAGCCAGCCAGAUAAAAGCUUUGGAGACUACAAGAAGCCAAAUGUCACCCCCUGUCAGUGUUCGUGCCACAGCAAUGUCAAGAGGCCUGCUGCCACACCUGCUGCCACACCUGCCUCCAAAAUUCCUGUUGUAGACCUCACUGAGUCGCCCUGCAAAGAUGGAGCACAGCCGGCAUCUCCAGCACCUGGGAAAAGCUCUGCACCAGAGGAGUCGCAGCCAAAGAAACAAUCUUUAGCGUCUCGUCUUUCGGAGAAGUUUCAGUCCUUCCUCAGCUCUGACCAGGAGAGGGACGAGGACUUUCAGCCGGACAGGAAACGAAUCCGCACUGUCGAGCCCAAGAGCCGUAAGAGGCAGCGUCUGGAGCAGGGAGUGGUUUUCUUGGGUGAUGACGACGAGCCGGAGCCGGAGGACGGGCCUUCAGGUUUUCAGAGUUGGGCCACGGAGCCACGCAGUCCAGCGGCCGCUCUGUCCUCUUCAUGCUGCUCCCCUGAACCCUGCACCCGCUGCUCCUGUGCGUCAACAAAAGACGGCAUGAAGGCGAAAGACGCCGUUAAGGACAACAGCCAAGACGGAAACAAGAAGCUACGCAAGAUCUUCUUCGGCACACGCACGCACAAACAAAUCACGCAGAUCACCCACGAGUUAAGGCGCACCGUGUACUCCGGGACGCCCAUGACCAUCUUAUCCAGCAGAGAUCACACAUGCGUCAACCCGGAGGUGGCGCCGCAUGCAAGCCGCAAUGAGCGCUGCAAGGAGCUGCUGGAGAACAAAGAUGGCAGGUCAUGUCGUUACUACCACGGUGUUCAGAGGAUUCGGGACCAGUCCAGCUUACAGCGAGUCCACGGACUCAAUCACGCCUGGGACAUUGAGGACUUGGUCUCACUGGGCAAACGGGUCCGUGCGUGCUCCUUCUUUGCUGCUCGGGAACUCAUGCAAGAGGCGUUAAUCAUCUUCUGCCCGUAUAACUACCUGCUGGACCCGAUGAUCAGACAGAGUCUGGACAUCGACCUGUCCGGCCAAAUCUUGGUGCUGGACGAGGCACACAACAUUGAGGACUGUGCGAGGGAGAGCGCCAGCUACACUUUAGACAACAAAAACCUGCUGAUGUCCCGGGACGAGCUGGAUGGGAUGAUCAGAACCAACAUCAGACGCUCCAAACACGAGCCGCUCAGAGAGUUCUGCUACAGCCUCAUCAACUGGAUCCAGGAGAGCCAAUGCAUGCUGUCAGAGCGGGGAUUUGAGAGCGCCAGUAAAGUCUGGAAUGGGAAGGACAUGAUGGUCAUCUUUCACGGCCUCGGCAUCACCGCUGAUACCUUCAACAUUCUGAAGCAAAACUUGGCGGCCGUGUUGGAGAAAGAGGAGCGUGUUGGUGUGAUUAACGGUAAAGAGGACAUGGUGCAAGUGCCGACCAUCAGCUCAGCUACCUCCACUGUCCUGAAAAGUCUGUUCGUGGUGCUGGACUUCCUCUUCAGAGACAACUGCAGGUUUGCUGAUGACUACCGGAUCGCUCUCCAGAGGAGCUAUGCGUGGACUAACCAGGUCCCGGCUGAUGUCCCAGACGCUCAGGGCUAUUUUGUCCGACCUCGCCAAAGACAACGUCAGAGUGCCCGAGUCAAGACAGAGGUCCUGACGCUCAGCUUCUGGUGCCUCAACCCUGCUGUGGCUUUCUCAGAUCUGAGUGGAUCCGUGCACAGCAUUGUGCUCACAUCAGGAACCCUGUCACCCAUGGGCUCCUUCUCCUCUGAACUCGGGGUGAAGUUCACCAUCCAGCUGGAGGCAAACCAUGUCAUCAACAAAUCCCAGGUUUGGGUGGGAACUGUCGGUGCAGGACCCCAAGGCAGACAACUCCGCGCCACCUUCCAGCACGCUGAGACGUACGCCUUCCAGGACGAGGUGGGCGCCCUGCUGCUCCAUGUCUGCCAGGCCGUGGCUAAAGGCGUGCUCUGCUUUCUGCCCUCUUAUAAGAUGCUGGACAAGCUGCGAGACCGCUGGACCAACACGGGUCUCUGGGAGAAGCUGGAAAUGAAGAAAACUGUGAUCACAGAACCCCGCGGAGGAGCCAAGGGAGACUUUGACGAACUGCUUCAAACGUACUACGAUGCCAUCAAGUACUGCGAGGGAGGAGACGGCGCUCUGCUGAUUGCCGUCUGUCGCGGUAAAGUCAGUGAAGGUCUAGACUUCACAGAUGACAACGCCAGGGCUGUGGUCACUAUUGGAAUCCCCUUCCCAAACAUCAAAGAUCUUCAGGUGGAGCUGAAGAUGAAGUACAACGACCAACACUGCAAGUCCAGAGGUCUUCUUCCAGGCAAUCGCUGGUACGAGAUCCAGGCCUACAGAGCUCUGAACCAGGCCCUGGGGAGAUGCAUCCGCCACAAGAACGACUGGGGGGCGCUGAUUCUAGUGGAUGACCGUUAUAAGCAAAAUCCCAACAGAUACAUCACAGGUCUGUCUAAAUGGGUACGCCAGCUCGUCCAGCAUCACGACACUUUCGGCAACGCCAUGCAGUCUCUGGUGGCGUUCUCGGAGCUGCAGCAGAAGAGAGAGGAGGCGGCGGCCCCCGCAGACAGUCAGACCCUCAGCUCCACCGCCCUCUCGUCUCCAAAUGGUCACCUGGCUGCACCUGUAGAGGACCUGUGUUCAACCAAGACCUCAGAACCUCAGACACCAAGCCAAUAUGUGAAACCACCUGAACCACAGACCCCCUCAUCCGUCAGUUUUUUCUCUCAUACACAGUUAAAGGCUGAACAGAAAGAAAGAGAAGAGCGUUUGCAGACGAUAAACAGCCCCGCAGCAGCGCCCCGACCACAUCAAAAAAGCAAGGCCCAGCCUUUCUUCAGCAUUUUCACCUCCAGUCCUAUCAGCGCACCAUUCAGGAGGCCAAUCUUCAAAGAAAAAACACCCCAUAACUCCGACCAACACUCGGAAACAUCAAGUCCUUGUGAGAACAAGGAGAACCAGCAGAACCAGCAGAUCUCUGAGGCUGCUGCUCUGAAACAAGAGGCACCAGUCUGCGCAGGUGAAAUGAGAAAGGAGACAAACAAUCACUCCAUGGAGUCUCCUCCAAGGUGUGAAGAUGAGCCGCCGGCUGCAGAAGAUGAAGACGAAGAGGACCAGACUCUCUUUUUUACUCCAGAGCUUUUCGAGGAAGAGGAGAACGUAGGCAACCCGCAGAAGGAGACAAAAACAAAGACACCACAGAAGUUGGAGAGCCCUGUCCUGCUGUCAGACGGCUCUGAGCAAGAUGGAGGGCAGGUCGUGGUUUUUAAUGAUCAGAGUGAUAGUUCAGUCAGUAAGGAGAGCACAGAGCUGCCGCUGGGACAAGAAGAAGAAGAACUGAUGAGGGAGACUCGAGGUGAGGAGGGAGAGAGUCAGAGCAGGCAGACAGAGAACAGGCUCCACAGAUUGUCCCGGUCCAGGCAGAAAGCUCCCUCCGACCCGACAGGUGGAGGCUAUAAGGGGAAAGCUGUAGGGAGAGUCAGUCUGUCGCAGAUCGAGACCAGGAGCAGCCAGAGGAGGAAAGACCAGGCCAGAACAGACCAUCAGAGAAAGGUUGUACCGUCAGGUUUGAGGUGCAGACCAUCCAGAGACAGACCCGUCAGAUUAGACACGUAUCGGCCAGAGGAUCAGGGAGACAGCUGGAUGACCUGCAGACAGACAGGACAGAUUUUAAAACCAGCGUCUGAGUCAGGAAAGACUUGUGUCGAUGUGAGGGACCGCAAAGCUCCUAAAAAGCUGCUCGCCACGCCUGUUUGUUCUGCAAGGAUUGAGUAUGACAUUGUGACUCCUAAACAAGAAGUCAAAGGGGGUCUGCAGGAAGCCGGAGGAGCAGGAUGUGGUCCUACGAGUCCAGCUGUGGAGGGUUCUGAGAGUCAGCACGCCAAGAAGAACGCUUUAAAAGUGCAGAGAUGUUGCAGGAAGAAACGCCGGAGAUUCUACAACACAUCUCCAAAAAGAAAGUUUGUCUUUCAGAGAGUUGGAGACCAGAGGCCGUGCUCUUUGGGACUCUCCUGUGCGCUGUGUGAGAUGAAACUCCUUCCUGUGAUGAAGGAUACAUCAUGGCGUGCAGUUUGUGAAGGUGAUCCUCUUUCUAUCCUGAGGAAGGACACGUUCAGAGCUGCAGCAUCAAACUGCCGAUGUGAACCACAACUUCCAUCAGCUGUAGACAAGUCACUGCUGCUGGUCCAGAGUCCAGAUUCACUGAAGACCCUCCGAACCGCUCUGCAACCUUUCUGUGAUGACAGUCAGACAGCAUACAACGCCAUCUGGAACCCCGAGGAGGGCUCUGUCACCAGAUUUCUGCAGUGCAAAGGCUGCUUGUCUCAGAGCCCCGUUCAGUCUGCAGCUCUGAUAGCGGCCGAGAUCCAGUAUCCCCGAGACACGGCUCGAGAUCAGGCGCUGUUUGCUCAAACGCCUUAAAACUGGGAGGCAGAACGAAGAGAUGAAAGGCAGCAAAGGAAAAGAAAACAUGUCAGUAACUGCUGCGUUGAUCUGUGUGCAGCAGAAGAAGCCAUACAUCAGUCAGUCAUUGUCAACAGGCAGAGGUGAACUGUGACGGACUCCUCUCUUUGAUUGAUUUGACAUGACAUGGGAAACAAGUCCUCACGUUUUAACACCACAAACGUCGUCAUUGUAAUUUCUCGUAUUUCACCGCGACGUUAUCCAAAAGAUUAAAGGUCAAUACACCUGCA